Molecule: non-coding RNA, 34 nt
Filed under: unclassified sequences
Source: RNAcentral
CUUUGAACGACAUUACAGUUCAAGGCGGAAGGAG